RNAcentral lists this non-coding RNA (24 nucleotides) under Arabidopsis thaliana (thale cress). The record is from RNAcentral. Lineage: Eukaryota; Viridiplantae; Streptophyta; Magnoliopsida; Brassicales; Brassicaceae.
AGGCCCGCGGAUAAGAGGCCCGAU